GGGCCCGCACAAGCAGUGGAGUAUGUGGUUUAAUUCGAAGCAACGCGAAGAACCUUACCAGGUCUUGACAUCGGAUGCAUACCUAAGAGAUUAGGGAAGCCCUUCGGGGCAUCCAGACAGGUGGUGCAUGGUUGUCGUCAGCUCGUGUCGUGAGAUGUUGGGUUAAGUCCCGCAACGAGCGCAACCCUUAUUAUUAGUUACUACGCAAGAGGACUCUAAUGAGACUGCCGUUGACAAAACGGAGGAAGGUGGGGAUGACGUCAAAUCAUCAUGCCCUUUAUGACCUGGGCCACACACGUACUACAAUGGCUAUUAACAAAGAGACGCGAGACCGCGAGGUGGAGCAAAUCUCACAAAAAUAGUCUCAGUUCGGAUCGCAGGCUGCAACUCGCCUGCGUGAAGCCGGAAUUGCUAGUAAUCGCGGAUCAGCAUGCCGCGGUGAAUACGUUCCCGGGCCUU
Molecule: ribosomal RNA, 459 nt
Filed under: uncultured bacterium
Lineage: Bacteria
Description: bacterial SSU rRNA
Rfam family: Bacterial small subunit ribosomal RNA
Source: RNAcentral